CCUACGGGAGGCAGCAGUGGGGAAUUGUUCGCAAUGGGCGCAAGCCUGACGACGCAACGCCGCGUGGAGGAUGAAGGUCUUCGGAUUGUAAACUCCUGUUGACCGGGACGAACUCCUUUGGGGCUAACACCCCCGGAGGGUGACGGUACUGGUUGAGGAAGCCCCGGCUAACUCUGUGCCAGCAGCCGCGGUAAUACAGAGGGGGCGAGCGUUGUUCGGAAUUACUGGGCGUAAAGGGCGCGUAGGCGGCCGACUAAGUCAGACGUGAAAUCCCCAGGCU
Molecule: ribosomal RNA, 280 nt
Filed under: uncultured bacterium
Lineage: Bacteria
Description: partial 16S ribosomal RNA
Rfam family: Bacterial small subunit ribosomal RNA
Source: RNAcentral